GGCGUCUUGAAUAGAUCCUAUCAAAUCUGCAUGAAGGAUUCAUGCUGCAGCUUCUUCUUCGAGUUUUAGAAGAGGAUCUAGAUCCAAGCGAGGACCGAGGCCUAUAAGGUGCUGGCACUCUGGAGGCCUCGGUGUUUUGAUCAAGUCAUCUUCGUGUGGAUACCAGCAGAGGUUGGACAUGUGUGUGGCUCCAACAGAAACCCAAGCAUCUGUC
Molecule: long non-coding RNA, 214 nt
Filed under: Elaeis guineensis (African oil palm)
Lineage: Eukaryota; Viridiplantae; Streptophyta; Magnoliopsida; Arecales; Arecaceae
Description: long non-coding RNA (EGUI_LNC054736)
Source: RNAcentral